Molecule: long non-coding RNA, 1227 nt
Organism: Equus caballus (horse)
Lineage: Eukaryota; Metazoa; Chordata; Mammalia; Perissodactyla; Equidae
Source: RefSeq, a predicted model, not a curated record
CAGGCGCGGGAAAGGGCGUGGCUACCCCCCGGCGCUGGCCCAACCAUCAAGCACGAGAGGGAGCGCGCGCAGAGGUUGGGAGUUCGGUUGAAGCGGCGGUUCGAUACGGAAGUGGCGGGGUGCAGCGCCCAGGCGGCCCCGGGAUCCCGCAGCUGAAUAGGAAAGGUGGCAUAGGGGGAAGGUUUAGGAUAGGACGCACUGACACGUCGCCAGCACUUCCGGUGCUCCAGAUCUUGGGACCAAAUAGGCUCUAGAGGGGGCGUUGCCGACUUUCCCGCCCCCUCUUCAUUUUUCAGGGAGAGGCAUGAAUAUAAGCUCUAGUAGAAGAAGCAGUGAACGUUCUUCCGACCUGAGAUUAUUUUUCCCCGCGUGAGGCAGAAAACCCAUCCUCCCCCAGAAAGGCCACAUGCACACAUCUUCCCUGCCAGAGUCCCACGAGGACAAGACCCCGCCCCCACCCCUUUGCAGGCUCUGGGCUGGUGGUAGCGUCCAGACGGCCGCCCAAUCAGAAGGCUCCAACGCAGCGGAAACGCGUGGCCUGGUAGGGGAGGGGCUCCAGGCUACUCGCGUCUCCAUGGCGACCGCCGCCGGCCGGCCCAGACUUCCCCGGCUCUGGUGGGAGGAGUAGCGGGAGGUGCCCAGUCUGGAGGCGGUCGGGUACAGGCGAGAUCAGAGCUCUCUCUGUCCUCUUUGGCAGUUUACCCAGCGCCCUCCUACACUGGCGAUCCCUACGCUGUGGUCGCUGCCCGAACUCCCGCCUUUUAGAUGGAGAAACUGAGGCCCACAUAGGGGCGGAAUGUUGCCCAAAAGUUCACACCGGAAGUUUAGGGCAGAGCCAAGGCAAAAACCCAUGUAUCUAUUUGUUCCACAAGUAUUUAUCGAGAUCCUAGUUGACAUUUCUUGGAGGAGUUGGCAGAAUCCAGAGCGACUGACCUUGGACCCGCAGCGCCGCCGCAGACACGUGGGAGGUACCUCGAAGAGACCCUCGCUCUCCAGCGUUUCCACUGGCGAGCCUCGGAGUUCGGGGGUAAGUUCUCCUGGAUCCGAACCUCCUAUUGUUUUGUAGUUGAGGUUCAGACCAGACUUUAUUUGGGCGGACUGGCCGGUUCUGUCCUCACUGCUUUGGGAAGCGGUCUUUACAAGCGCACAUACCCGACCCAGAUCAUCUCCUCCUGCCUUGGCCAUCCAAGAACAGCCGUCUCUCAAUGACAGGCAACACUGAUUCCA